UUCCCAGCCGCUCACCCCGCCUGUCCCGCUCGCCGUGGCCGAUGACCCACACUCGCGCCCCCUCCCCAACCCUUCCUUCCCCCUCGCGCCGCCACCCUACUGGCCUCGCCUCUUCCCCCCUUUCUCCUCUAGCGUCUUCUCCCCAUCUGCUCCGCUCCACCUCUCCGCGGACGCGCCCAAGUCCGAGCGCGCCAUGUUCGCCGGCCCGCGCACGCGCCUACACCGGCUCUGCUUCGUCCAGCCCGCGCCGUGCUGGGUCACCUCCUCCUGCGCCACGCGGGCUCCGCUACUCCCGACCGUGCCCCUGCGCAUGCCCCUGCAGCGGCUGCGCUCCCACGAGCCGCCCCCAGUGCCCCCCGCUCGGUCGCCGGCUCCCUCCGUCCGGCUCCGCUUCUGCCCAUGCCCCGGCCAGCUCCGCCUAUGCCUUGUGCAACAUCGAUCUCCCCGAGUUCUCUUUCGCUGGUGGGGGAGCUGUUGGCGACGAUCUGGAUGAGCGAGAGUUCAGCAACAGGGGAGGGGUGAAUCAACGGCGGCAGCAGAGAGGGUGGAGAGAAUUGCAAGAGCCUAGGCGCCCAUCACCAUGGCUUUCUCGUUAUUCGCGUGCCACCAUCGCGGUCAUUAUUGGAGCUUUGAAAAGGUUCAUGGGUCAGGCGACGCACAUGGGGGUGUCUGCUAAGCAUGCCACUGGGUGGGUGACGAAGUGAUGCAGUCAAUGGGAACCAGCAACGGCAGAGCCCCCCCCCCCCCCCCCCCUUCUCCGCCUCGUCACUGUCGCCACCUAGCUUGACCUCGAGCCGAAGAGCAACUCAGCAGGAUGCCGGGGGACAGGUGCAGCAGCCAGCCUCGGCAGGAGGAGCUCGAGCCGACUCGGCAGAAGGAGUAUAGCACCAGACACGCCCGUGAGUUUCUCUCUCUAAUCCCCUUGAAACUACAUUCCCGAUCUGGAGCGGGAGGCUAGGGAUGCCUCGUAUGUGUGUCCGUAAUUUUCUUCUCAGUUUGACAAGGAAUAUGCAUAUGGUAGUCUUCUGAUUUUGGGUGUAGAUUCUAAUUUUGUUGGCAAAACAAUGGCAGAUUUCUCCAUUAGCUUAUAUGAUUUGGGGCUGAUUUUACUCGUGUGAUUCCUAUUCAUGGCUUUGCUGUGGGAGAUAGCAAAAAUGAAGUGAAUUAAGUGUGAAAAAAUAGCAGGAGCAAUGCCUGGGCUGUAGAUUUCUCCAUUAGUUUAGUCAUGGCUAAUAUGAACUUCUCUAUUAUAUUGCUUAUGGAUUGUUCAGUAAAAUGAAACCUCAUGGUGUGGCAUGUCACCUCCCUUGCACAUAUACUUGUACCCAAUUUAGACCAUCAGUAGAACUGUCUAUAUUGUACAGGUCAACUAAUACACAGCACCCCGGCGGCCGGUGCAUACAUAUCACUGCACGCACACACAACGCCACCUGACUCCUAUUUCUUCAGUGCAGCACUGUGACAUGGCCAUACUCUGUAUGGACACAGUGGCAGAUUACAAACUCUUUGCAGUAGUGGAUCUAAUAAACAAGAUGUCUUAGGUUUGAAAGCAACAUGAAGAUAAAGGAGAUAACUUUGGAUAUGUUAUUAUCUUUACCAUUAUACGUAUAUAAUUUCUUAAUGUACGAUGGAGCUGACCUCACGGGUUGACUGACGGCGACACGAAAGUCGGAGGGAGCAGAGUAGUUUUGCAAAAAUGGAGGAUACCAGACUGACCCAUGGAGCAUGAUAUCCUCCUUGUCAGGGGCCACCUUACUUGUAUGGCUUCAGGCUGAGGAGACCCUUCUAAUUAAGGUGGUUACUACUUACUUGCUGAUUUGAACCUAGAAGAGAAUGUCAUUUCGUGUUUGUUAGUAGGAUCUCAUGUUUAAUCUACAGAUCUAUUUAGUCAGUGUAUUUGCAGACCAGUUGCGAGUUUUUACCUGGGAAAAUGAACAUUUUUCUACCUCAAAUUUGCAUAUCAGUAUCCCUGUUUGAUUUAAGAUUGCUUUUCUUAUUAUGAAGAAGAUUUGUGCUGCUGCUAUUGCGUUCUUCAGUUUCUGGUCAUUGGUUCAUCUGCAAAUGUGUGGACCUCCCUCCCUUUUGCUCGAUUGCUCCACCUUGCUCCUUUGGCUGAUUAUAACAGCUAUUUCCGCAGCCCAUGACGCUGGUUGAGGUUAGUCUUUCAGCAUAUGUUUUCUUCAUUACAUGUCCUUUAAAUUGCAGCAUAGGCCCCUUACAAAUAAGUUAAUUAACUAGAUGUCUGCAUAAAUAUAUUUGCCUGAUGGGUUUCCCUACUAUGGCUCAUGGUCAUAGAUGUAGUUUGCCUUUGCUGCUGUUGUUUCUCUCAAUAUUUCUAUCCCACUAUACUGUAUGUGUUCUAAAUGUACCGGUAUAUGAAAGAUGAUUAUCUCCAUUAUUAUUGUUCGUACUACCAUUUUUAUCCAAGAUUCAAAACACCUAACACGUGCCCUUUUUUAAAGUAUCUUUAACGUAGCCUAUUGGUUCUUAACUUACUAUCAACUACUAGCGAAGAUAGCUUUCUGAAAUAAGCAUGAUAAGCAUGAACAUUGUUCUACUCACGGGAAGAACCCUCAGGUGAUGAUAGGUCAUGGUUCUUUGCCAUUUCCUUUACAAAAUCGGUUCAAUCUUGUAAUUCUAAGUUAGUAUCAAGUCCUAUAUACCUUUCUGUUUGUAUAAAUUCACAACUUUCAUGGAAGCUCUCAAAUUGCGAGUAUUAAUCUCAGGUUGUUGGGUAUGUUUGCUGGUAGUAUGCUGCCAUGCAUCCACUGAGCAAUUUUCUUGUGAUUUACUUGUGAUGACACAUUUCUAAUCUUUCUCUUUGGGAUACUGAAAUAUGGUUUGCCUUGGGAAAUAUCUGAGAUAGGAUCCAUGCUACUUUAUUUGAAUUGUUUUUAUGUUUGCACCCUUAUUUUGAUUUUAGUUACGAUGUUCUCUUUCUUUUGAUUGCUCACAUGUGUUUUUUGAUUUUAGUUACGAUGUUACUUGUGAUGACACAUUUCUAAUCUUUCUUUUGUCACCAUUCUUUGAGAUAUGAAAGAUGAUGUAUUUUGUUGCA
Molecule: long non-coding RNA, 3058 nt
Organism: Triticum aestivum (bread wheat)
Lineage: Eukaryota; Viridiplantae; Streptophyta; Magnoliopsida; Poales; Poaceae
Exons: 2
Source: RefSeq, a predicted model, not a curated record